GAAAUGCGAUAAGUAAUGUGAAUUGCAGAAUUCAGUGAAUCAUCGAAUCUUUGAACGCACAUUGCGCCCGCCAGUAUUCUGGCGGGCAUGCCUGUCCGAGCGUCAUUUCAACCAUCAAGCCCCCGGGCUUGUGUUGGGAACCUGCGGCUGCCCGCAGGCCCUGAAAACCAGUGGCGGGCUCGCUGUCACACCGAGCGUAGUAGCAAUCACCUCGCUCAGGGCGUGCUGCGGGUUCCGGCCGUUAAACAGCCUUACAAAACCCAAGGUUGACCUCGGAUCAGGUAGGAAGACCCGCUGAACUUAAGC
This 306-nucleotide unclassified non-coding RNA is filed under the name plant metagenome. RNAcentral describes it as "partial contains 5.8S ribosomal RNA, internal transcribed spacer 2, and large subunit ribosomal RNA". The stretch from base 1 to 105 matches the Rfam family "5.8S ribosomal RNA", at positions 50 to 154 of the family's 154-position model. The record is from RNAcentral.